UACGUAGGGUGCGAGCGUUGUCCGGAAUUAUUGGGCGUAAAGAGCUUGUAGGCGGUCUGUCGCGUCUGCUGUGAAAAUCCGGGGCUCAACCCCGGACUUGCAGUGGGUACGGGCAGACUAGAGUGUGGUAGGGGAGACUGGAAUUCCUGGUGUAGCGGUGAAAUGCGCAGAUAUCAGGAGGAACACCGAUGGCGAAGGCAGGUCGCUGGGCCGUAACUGACGCUGAGGAGCGAAAGCAUGGGGAGCGAACAGG
Molecule: ribosomal RNA, 253 nt
Filed under: uncultured bacterium
Lineage: Bacteria
Description: partial 16S ribosomal RNA
Rfam family: Bacterial small subunit ribosomal RNA
Source: RNAcentral